ACUCCUACGGGAGGCAGCAGUGGGGAAUAUUGGACAAUGGGGGAAACCCUGAUCCAGCCAUGCCGCGUGUGUGAAGAAGGCCUUCGGGUUGUAAAGCACUUUCAGUGGGGAGGAAAGGUUGAUGGUUAAUACCUAUCAGCUGUGACGUUACCCACAGAAGAAGCACCGGCUAACUCCGUGCCAGCAGCCGCGGUAAUACGGAGGGUGCAAGCGUUAAUCGGAAUUACUGGGCGUAAAGCGUGCGCAGGCGGUCUGUUAAGCGAGAUGUGAAAGCCCCCGGGCUCAACCUGGGAACUGCAUUUCGAACUGGCAGACUAGAGUCUUGUAGAGGGGGUAGAAUUCCAGGUGUAGCGGUGAAAUGCGUAGAGAUCUGGAGGAAUACCGGUGGCGAAGGCGGCCCCCUGGACAAAGACUGACGCUCAGGCACGAAAGCGUGGGAGCAAACAGGAUUAGAUACCCUGGUAGGUCAGUC
Molecule: ribosomal RNA, 472 nt
Filed under: uncultured bacterium
Lineage: Bacteria
Description: bacterial SSU rRNA
Rfam family: Bacterial small subunit ribosomal RNA
Source: RNAcentral